ACUCCUACGGGAGGCAGCAGUGGGGAAUUUUGGACAAUGGGGGCAACCCUGAUCCAGCCAUGCCGCGUGAGUGAAGAAGGCCUUCGGGUUGUAAAGCUCUUUCGGCCGGGAAGAAAUCGCGCACUCUAACAUAGUGUGUGGAUGACGGUACCGGACUAAGAAGCACCGGCUAACUACGUGCCAGCAGCCGCGGUAAU
This 197-nucleotide ribosomal RNA is filed under the name uncultured Thauera sp. Its description in RNAcentral is "partial 16S ribosomal RNA". It matches the Rfam family "Bacterial small subunit ribosomal RNA", at positions 335 to 524 of the family's 1533-position model. The record is from RNAcentral. Lineage: Bacteria; Pseudomonadati; Pseudomonadota; Betaproteobacteria; Rhodocyclales; Zoogloeaceae.